Molecule: ribosomal RNA, 444 nt
Filed under: uncultured bacterium
Lineage: Bacteria
Description: bacterial SSU rRNA
Rfam family: Bacterial small subunit ribosomal RNA
Source: RNAcentral
GGUAUGGGAUGAGCUUGCGUCCGAUUAGCUAGUUGGCGGGGCAACGGCCCACCAAGGCGACGAUCGGUAGCCGGCCUGAGAGGGUGAUCGGCCACAUUGGGACUGAGAUACGGCCCAGACUCCUACGGGAGGCAGCAGUAGGGAAUAUUGCACAAUGGGGGAAACCCUGAUGCAGCAACGCCACGUGUGGGAAGAAGCAUUUCGGCGUGUAAACCACUGUCGUGAGGGAAUAAGGCUGAGUUUCGGCUCAGUUGAAUGUACCUCGAGAGGAAGCACCGGCAAACUUCGUGCCAGCAGCCGCGGUAAUACGAGGGGUGCAAGCGUUGUUCGGAAUCACUGGGCGUAAAGGGAGCGCAGGCGGAAGCUCAAGCGGAUUGUACAAUACCGGGGCCCAACCCCGGACCUGCAGUCCGAACUGGGUUUCUUGGAUAGUUCAGGGCAGGC